UCAUGAGGGUGUUGUUGAGAAAAGCC
RNAcentral lists this non-coding RNA (26 nucleotides) under Homo sapiens (human). Lineage: Eukaryota; Metazoa; Chordata; Mammalia; Primates; Hominidae. The record is from RNAcentral.